CUUCUAUAGACGAGCUAGCACUGGAGGAAGUCAAACCCGUUCUGCACAAUGAAGCAGCAGCGUAGGACGGAGGCAGCACCACAAUGUGAGCUCAAAUCCUAUUCUAAGAACACCAUGGUGUUGGGGCCUGAACAGAAGAUGCCAGAUGGUGCUGCUUCUGAAGACCAUGGGGACUCUGCCAGUCUUGGUGCCAUCAACCCUGCCUACAGUAGCUCCUCUCUUCCGCAAUCCCCCGGGACAUCAGAGGAGCCCUUCACCACCUACUUUGAUGAGAAGAUUCCCAUUCCUGAGGAGGAGCACUCUUGUUUUAGCUUUCGGAAACUCUGGGCUUUCACGGGACCAGGAUUUCUUAUGAGCAUUGCCUACCUGGAUCCAGGAAACAUCGAAUCUGAUCUGCAGUCUGGAGCAGUGGCUGGGUUUAAGUUGCUCUGGGUUCUUCUGUUGGCCACCAUCGUGGGGCUCCUGCUGCAGCGCCUUGCGGCUAGACUGGGAGUGGUCACUGGGCUGCAUCUUGCUGAAGUUUGUUACCGUCAGUACCCCAAGGUCCCCCGAAUUAUCCUGUGGCUGAUGGUGGAGUUGGCUAUCAUUGGCUCAGAUAUGCAAGAAGUUAUUGGCUCAGCCAUUGCCAUCAAUCUCCUGUCUGUAGGAAGGGUUCCGCUAUGGGGUGGAGUUCUCAUCACCAUUGCAGAUACUUUUGUAUUUCUCUUUUUGGACAAAUAUGGCUUGCGGAAGCUGGAAGCAUUUUUUGGCUUUCUCAUCACUGUUAUGGCCCUCACUUUUGGAUAUGAGUAUAUUACAGUGCGACCCGACCAGAGCAAGGUGCUCAAGGGCAUGUUCCUGCCAUCCUGUUCAGGCUGCGGCACCCCACAGAUCCAGCAGGCUGUGGGCAUCGUGGGAGCUGUCAUCAUGCCACACAACAUGUACCUGCAUUCUGCCUUAGUCAAGUCCAGACAGGUAAACCGAGCCAAAAAGCAGGAAGUUCGAGAAGCCAAUAAGUACUUUUUCAUUGAAUCCUGCAUUGCGCUCUUUGUUUCCUUCAUCAUCAAUGUUUUUGUCGUCUCAGUCUUUGCCGAAGCUUUUUUUGAGAAAACCCACCAGCAGGUGAUUGAAGUCUGUAAAAAUAGCAGCAGUCCCCAUACUGGCCUUAUUCCUGAUGAUAACUCAACACUGGCGGUGGACAUCUUCAAAGGGGGUAUUGUGCUGGGAUGUUACUUCGGGCCUGCUGCACUCUACAUCUGGGCUGUGGGGAUCCUGGCCGCAGGGCAGAGCUCCACCAUGACAGGAACCUAUUCUGGCCAGUUUGUCAUGGAGGGAUUCCUGAACCUCAGGUGGUCACGCUUUGCCCGAGUGAUUCUGACCCGCUCUAUUGCCAUUAUCCCGACUCUGCUGGUUGCUGUCUUCCAAGAUGUAGAGCAUUUGACUGGGAUGAAUGACUUCCUCAAUGUUCUGCAGAGCUUACAGCUUCCCUUUGCUCUCAUACCCAUCCUCACGUUUACAAGCUUGCGGCCAGUAAUGAGUGACUUUGCCAAUGGAAUAGGCUGGAAGGUUGCAGGCGGGAUCUUGGUCUUUGUCAUCUGCUCUAUCAACAUGUACUUUGUCGUGAUUUAUGUCCAGAGUCUUGGGCAUAUGGUUCUGUAUGUGGUGGCUGCUGUGGUCAGUGUGGCUUAUCUGAGCUUCGUGUUUUACUUGAUUUGGCAAUGUAUGAUUGCUUUGGGCAUGUCCUGCCUGGAUUGUGGGCGCACGGUAAGCACCUCUAAAGUCCUGACUGAAGAAGCCACCGAUGACUAUACUAAGUAGACACUGGGUCAGUCGGUCUGAUCCGGGUAGCCAUCAGAGCCAGUGUGUUUCUAUGGUUUACUGUGUGAACAUAGCCCGAAGUAUGUGCUGUUGCACAGACUGCGUUUAGGAUUCCCCCGUUUGUUGUGAAAGACUCACAUAUGUAUGAAAAGUGGAUAUUUUUCUUCCUGACCUCCUAACUUGGGAACUGGGUCUUUGAAAAGCUGACUGUUUGCUGCUGUCAUUUUAACACUAACUCUUGAGCUGCUGAAGAGCCAGCUUAUUUUAUCCUUUGAGAGAUAAGUCUCUAUGCACGAUUCUUAACUAGGCUGUAUGUUAAAAAAGAACUGGAAAAUGCAGUACAUUUCAUAACAAAAGUACACAAUGGGUAUGCAGAUUUGUUUAUUAAAAGAUAAUGGAUUUUAAAAGGCUGAGAAAUACUUAUGCAUACCCUUUCAAUUAUUUUAAUUAUAAAAAGUAAAAUCUCAACUAGAGUGGUUUUAUCCAUAUUAAAUGUAGAAUUGUGAGACCGCCACCUUUAUCAGGUUUAGAAUUCUUUCAGUUUAUUUCUACUUUAAAUUUCUCAGUGGAAGUUAAGAGGGGUAAAAAACAUAAAGGUGAUAAAUGGACAAAUAGCAAAACUCACCUGUAGGUGGUGGUUACUAAUCACCUUGAAAAUCACUUAGAAGAUUUUCCUCAGAGAUUGAACACUUACCAGGAUUUUCUGGGGAGUCCUGACUUGAAUCACUUUUAUGUUAAUACACAGCUUUCUUGACACUUACUUUCAAGCACAUUUAGUGUAAAACCUUCACCUCCUCCUCCAGGGGGGUGGUGAUGGAGAAAGACGGUAGCAUUUGUAAACUGAAGUUCUCAUGAGACUUUGGGGUAAGGAGAAAAGACUUGAAAGGAGAAGAAGCACCAUCUGUGUCUUCCUGAGAGCCACCUCCUGCCAGCACCAUCACGUUUUCCUGAAGUGCCCAGGACGGCUUGCAAGGCAGCCUCGGAGCUGUGGACCUAAGCGAAGCAAAGCGCUCUCUCAGCAAGUCAGUAGGGUACCACUGUGGUUGCGAAGCUCUCUUCAGCCACUCCCUCAGAGGGAACACUUUUUGAGACCCGAUGGUGGCGCUCUGGAGUCAGAGGAAAUGGGUCCCUUCAGCAUGAAGCUGCUGCUCCUCAGCCCCUUGCGCCAUUUUUACCCACGGAGGCCGAGACUGUGAUUACCUCAAAUCAGUCACAUUUGUGUGACGCAGAUAAACAAUCACGUCGCUUAUAGCUGUUGGCGUGGUGAGGACAGUAAUGGGAAUGGCACCGAAGGACUUCUUAUUUGGGAGGUGGGGGCUUUCCUUCUGGAGAUACGGUGGAUUGAUGUUCUCUGUUCACUUGAACACUAACGGCGUUACUGCUGAUAUUUUGCACACAGUCAAAAGUGCAGACUGGAUAGAUUGUCUUUUAUAAGUCACUAAGGGUAAACUACUGUUUCACUGACCAUACCUUUAUCUUAGCUGCUGAAGUAAUAGAGCACAGUAUCAUGAAAGACAAAUUUCCCUAAAUGUUCCUCCUCAUAUCCAUCCUGUUCCUCUGAGAAGAUAUCGAAAAAUGACACCUUAAGCUGCAGUAGGUCUGGCUAUAGUAGGUGAGGGCCAAAUUAAUGAAAAAGUUCUUUGUAAAGACGAAACACUUACCUUUGCCCCGAAUCUGGGUGGGCCCAGUCAGUCUCAGAUUCACAAAUAUUUAGAAGUCCAGGUAAAAAUUGGCAGUUUUCUUUUAAACAUUGUAUUUAUAACUUGCAAUGAUGGAAAAUUUCUUCCCAAUUAAAUGGUACUUUAUAAUACAUGUAUGGAAUAUGUCACGGUGUUAAAAACUCCCAUGCUGUGUUCCAUCUGACCCUCUCAGAGAGUGUACUUCACCAGCACUCCGGUUGCAGUGCACGGUGUGCAGACCUUUCAUGUUUUCUAGUGCCAGCACAUGCAUUGUCUUGGCAGUGUCUCUGUGUGGAAUGUUUAGCCCAGUGGUUGGCAAACUCAUUAGUCAACAGAGCCAAAUAUCAACAGUACUUCUUCAAAAUAGACUUGCCCAGGCCAAAAACCGACUUCUGCGCAUGGGCCAGGAAGUUUCAAUCGCACUGUACGUGUGAGCCUGCACGUGGUAUUUUGUGGAAGAGCCACACUCACGGGGCCAAAAAGCCGGCUCGAGCCACAGUUUGCUGACCACUGGUUUAGGAGAUACAGUUGUACUUUAUGUCAGUCAGUCCUUGUUCUCCAUAAAUGUGUCAUGAAAUGACUGUGCUGCUCCAGCCUACGAGGAAUCAACAGGGACGAGGCAGAGCUGUAGUGUGGCUCCUGAGAGGUUGUGCUAGUGCUGUUAGGAGUGGUUACAACUGAGCUUUCAGUGACCAUUUAACAAUAUGUAAACUUGGUUUGUAAUUAAAAACAUUUUUCUUUUUUCAA
This is an RNA transcript of Myotis daubentonii (Daubenton's bat), 4223 nucleotides long. It is a transcript of the gene named solute carrier family 11 member 2, with no coding region annotated. The record is from RefSeq and is a predicted model, not a curated record. NCBI's taxonomy places the organism in Eukaryota, Metazoa, Chordata, Mammalia, Chiroptera, Vespertilionidae.